GUGGGGAAUUUUGCGCAAUGGGGGAAACCCUGACGCAGCAACGCCGCGUGAGUGAUGAAGGCCUUCGGGUCGUAAAGCUCUGUCAUCAGGGACGAACGGCCGGUGGAGUGGAAAGCCACCGGAUUGACGGUACCUGAGAAGGAAGCCACGGCUAACUACGUGCCAGCAGCCGCGGUAAUACGUAGGUGGCAAGCGUUGUCCGGAAUUAUUGGGCGUAAAGCGCGCGCAGGUGGGAUCUUAAGUCCAUUUUUAAAGUUCGGAGCUCAACUCCGUGAUGGGAUGGAAACUGGGAUUCUUGAGUACCGGAGAGGAAAGCGGAAUUCCCCGUGUAGCGGUGAAAUGCGUAGAUAUGGGGAGGAACACCAGUGGCGAAGGCGGCUUUCUGGACGGUGUCUGACACUGAGGCGCGAAAGCCAGGGGAGCGAACGGGAUUAGAAACCCCAGUAGUC
Molecule: ribosomal RNA, 449 nt
Filed under: uncultured bacterium
Lineage: Bacteria
Description: partial 16S ribosomal RNA
Rfam family: Bacterial small subunit ribosomal RNA
Source: RNAcentral